This 785-nucleotide ribosomal RNA is filed under the name uncultured bacterium. RNAcentral's name for it is "bacterial SSU rRNA". It matches the Rfam family "Bacterial small subunit ribosomal RNA", at positions 689 to 1486 of the family's 1533-position model. The record is from RNAcentral.
CUUAGAUAUAACGCAGAACCCCAAUUGCGAAGGCAGCAUGCUGGACCAUUACUGACGCUGAGGCACGAAAGCGUGGGGAUCAAACAGGAUUAGAUACCCUGGUAGUCCACGCCGUAAACUAUGAAUGCUAGCUAUUGGCGAUAUACAGUCAGUGGCACAGAGAAAUCGUUAAGCAUUCCACCUGGGGAGUACGCCGGCAACGGUGAAACUCAAAGGAAUUGACGGGGGCCCGCACAAGCGGAGGAACAUGUGGUUUAAUUCGAUGAUACGCGAGGAACCUUACCCGGGUUUGAACGCAGGGAGAAUAUAGUGGAAACAUUAUAGCUAGCAAUAGCCGCCUGCGAGGUGCUGCAUGGUUGUCGUCAGCUCGUGCCGUGAGGUGUCGGCUUAAGUGCCAUAACGAGCGCAACCCUUAUCGAUAGUUACUAACAGGUUAAGCUGAGGACUCUAUUGAGACUGCCAGCGUAAGCUGUGAGGAAGGUGGGGAUGACGUCAAAUCAGCACGGCCCUUACAUCCGGGGCGACACACGUGUUACAAUGGUGGGUACAGAAGGCCGCUACCUGGUGACAGGAUGCCAAUCUCCAAAACCCAUCUCAGUUCGGAUCGGAGUCUGCAACUCGACUCCGUGAAGCUGGAUUCGCUAGUAAUCGCGCAUCAGCCAUGGCGCGGUGAAUACGUUCCCGGGCCUUGUACACACCGCCCGUCAAACAAUGGAAGUUGGGGGUACCUAAAGUCUGCAACCGCAAGGAGCGGCCUAGGGUAAAACCGAUAACUGGUGUUAAGU